GAUCCUGGCUCAGGACGAACGCUGGCGGCGUGCUUCAUACAUGCAAGUCGAACGCGAAUCGGUAGCUUGCUACCGAGGAAAGUGGCGGACGGGUGAGUAAUGUGUAGAGAAUCUGCCCUAGAGCGGGGGACAACAGCUGGAAACGGUUGCUAAUACCCCAUAUGAGCGUAUCUGAAAUGGUAUUCUUGAAAACUCCGGUGCUCUAGGAUGAGUCUGCAUCUGAUUAG
Molecule: ribosomal RNA, 227 nt
Filed under: uncultured bacterium
Lineage: Bacteria
Description: partial 16S ribosomal RNA
Rfam family: Bacterial small subunit ribosomal RNA
Source: RNAcentral